GAGUUUGAUCAUGGCUCAGAUUGAACGCUGGCGGCAGGCCUAACACAUGCAAGUCGAGCGGAUGACGGGAGCUUGCUCCUUGAUUCAGCGGCGGACGGGUGAGUAAUGCCUGGGAAUCUGCCUGGUAGUGGGGGACAACGUUUCGAAAGGAACGCUAAUACCGCAUACGUCCUACGGGAGAAAGCAGGGGACCUUCGGGCCUUGCGCUAUCAGAUGAGCCUAGGUCGGAUUAGCUAGUUGGUGGGGUAAUGGCUCACCAAGGCGACGAUCCGUAACUGGUCUGAGAGGAUGAUCAGUCACACUGGAACUGAGACACGGUCCAGACUCCUACGGGAGGCAGCAGUGGGGAAUAUUGGACAAUGGGCGAAAGCCUGAUCCAGCCAUGCCGCGUGUGUGAAGAAGGUCUUCGGAUUGUAAAGCACUUUAAGUUGGGAGGAAGGGCAGUAAGUUAAUACCUUGCUGUUUUGACGUUACCGACAGAAUAAGCACCGGCUAACUCUGUGCCA
Molecule: ribosomal RNA, 506 nt
Filed under: bacterium enrichment culture clone ALO1_GLFRUDD03FRZ1A
Lineage: Bacteria
Description: bacterial SSU rRNA
Rfam family: Bacterial small subunit ribosomal RNA
Source: RNAcentral